RNAcentral lists this transfer RNA (74 nucleotides) under Bacteroidota bacterium. RNAcentral's name for it is "Bacteroidetes bacterium tRNA-Met". It matches the Rfam family "tRNA". Rfam says of the family: Transfer RNA (tRNA) molecules are approximately 80 nucleotides in length. Their secondary structure includes four short double-helical elements and three loops (D, anti-codon, and T loops). Further hydrogen bonds mediate the characteristic L-shaped molecular structure. tRNAs have two regions of fundamental functional importance: the anti-codon, which is responsible for specific mRNA codon recognition, and the 3' end, to which the tRNAs corresponding amino acid is attached (by aminoacyl-tRNA synthetases). tRNAs cope with the degeneracy of the genetic code in two manners: having more than one tRNA (with a specific anti-codon) for a particular amino acid; and 'wobble' base-pairing, i.e. permitting non-standard base-pairing at the 3rd anti-codon position. The record is from RNAcentral. RNAcentral also lists the same sequence under 2 other names. Lineage: Bacteria; Pseudomonadati; Bacteroidota.
GGCGGGGUAGCUCAGUUGGUUAGAGCGUAGGAUUCAUAACCCUAAGGUGGGCAGUUCGAUCCUGCUCCCCGCUA